CCUACGGGAGGCAGCAGUGGGGAAUAUUGGACAAUGGGCGAAAGCCUGAUCCAGCAAUGCCGCGUGAGUGAUGAAGGCCUUAGGGUUGUAAAGCUCUUUUACCAGGGAUGAUAAUGACAGUACCUGGAGAAUAAGCUCCGGCUAACUCCGUGCCAGCAGCCGCGGUAAUACGGAGGGAGCUAGCGUUGUUCGGAAUUACUGGGCGUAAAGCGUGCGUAGGCGGUGAUUCAAGUCAGAGGUGAAAGCCUGGAGCUCAACUCCAGAACGGCCUUUGAAACUAGAUCGCUAGAAUUAUGGAGAGGUAAGUGGAAUUCCGAGUGUAGAGGUGAAAUUCGUAGAUAUUCGGAAGAACACCAGUGGCGAAGGCGACUUACUGGACAUAUAUUGACGCUGAGGUACGAAAGCGUGGGGAGCAAACAGGAUUAGAUACCCUGGUAGUCCACGCCGUAAACGAUGAUAACUAGCUGUUCGGGCUCUCAGAGCUUGAGUGGCGCAGCUAACGCAUUAAGUUAUCCGCCUGGGGAGUACGGUCGCAAGAUUAAAACUUAAAGGAAAUUGACGG
RNAcentral lists this ribosomal RNA (562 nucleotides) under uncultured bacterium. RNAcentral's name for it is "bacterial SSU rRNA". It matches the Rfam family "Bacterial small subunit ribosomal RNA", at positions 338 to 916 of the family's 1533-position model. The record is from RNAcentral.